Molecule: unclassified non-coding RNA, 310 nt
Filed under: Hevea brasiliensis (rubber tree)
Lineage: Eukaryota; Viridiplantae; Streptophyta; Magnoliopsida; Malpighiales; Euphorbiaceae
Source: RNAcentral
GGCAAUUUUCUAGGUCUGUUAGCAAAUGGAUGAUCUCAUCGCACCAGCUACAAUAUUUCAAUUUGGCAUCCGAUGAUCGUUUAAGGGCAACAACAUCUUUCACAAAUUGCUCAAGAAUUCCAUCCAUCCUCCUUGAUAGCUAUGAUAACCUCUUCCCAUAUGUUAGGGACUGCAUUGAUUGAUCGGAGUACCUUGAAUGUUUGAGCACACCAGGUUUGGAAUCCCUUGACUCAUAUAAUGAAAAUAAAUUAAGCUUGAUCCAACCCCAAAAUUAAUUUUUUUUUCUUGUUUCAAGAUACAGGGGAAAGGG